This is a long non-coding RNA of Clupea harengus (Atlantic herring), 2619 nucleotides long. Lineage: Eukaryota; Metazoa; Chordata; Actinopteri; Clupeiformes; Clupeidae. The record is from Ensembl.
AUUUCAGUCAUGCUUGUGUGGCUUUUAGUUUGGUUGAUCUCUGGCAGAGUUCCCUGGCAUCUCUCAUGGUUUGUGGCGCACUUGUGUGCAAGUCACCAGCACUCAAGAGCUCUAAUUCUCCAGUCUCUCUAAAGUUUUUAUUUUCCUAUUCUUAUCUUUUGAAGUCUAAGGAAAUAUGUGGCCAAACAGAUUUAGGACUUUUAGGACUUUUUAUGAUGUGAUAUUAGUCUGAGGAAAAAAAGGUGAAAAAAAGGAAACGGUUGGAGGCUGCUGCCCUCCCUCACCUAACUUGUCUCUGAAUCCUCUACUCUCGCGGUGAAGCUGGGGCAAAAUGGCGGGUUUAUAUUCUCUCUGCAUUCUGUCCACAUUCUUCAUGAUCACGCUGGCUGGGGACAAGGCCAUGCUGUGUGAGGAUAAGGACAGUCUCCUGGCGGAGAUAGCUGGGAAUGUGGAAAUACCGUCGGAGUGUGUGCUGCACUGCACGGCACUGACAUAUGGCAGAAUGCUGCUGAGACAGGACACACAGAGAGUUCGUUUCAAAUACUCUGACGCACGGGAGGAUGGAAAGUACUGCUGGUCCACGUGCAUCAGCUGCAAUGCAGGAGAGAGCUUGCUUCAGAUUUACGUCGUCUUGCCUGUACACAUGUCAGUUUUCAAUGGAGAACUUCAAAUCACCUCAGAGAAUAUACUGAAACCUCACAGAGGGCAAGCACCUCUUCCUGAUGAAUGUGGCCUGCGCUUUGAUGUCAUGGGCUACUUCAGUGGGACAAAGCGCGAGCCAACAUUCUGUGUCAAGGUGCUUCCACAGUACCUCACCCUGGGAGAGGGCCUGCGAUGCCACCCUUUCCUUGUGACAGUUUGGCAAAACCAAAACCACUCCCCAGUCAGUCAAGGUGAGGGGUGACUGAGAAUUUGGAAUCUACUCAAGACAUCUAGAUUAAUUUGCACAAUCUUUGUUUCUUAAUACCUUAUAGGACAUCUUCAUCAGUGACCUGUUGCAAGUCUUUACAUAACAGAGAAUUAGAAGAUAAAUGGCUAGCUCUAGUGCAUGGUUGCAGAAUGCUAUUUAUAGUCUGAUUAACCCUUUUAUGCAUGGUGUCCACAUUUGUGGACAGUUAAUUCAACUCCAUUUUAUCAUGAUGAAGCUCUCCAAAUCAUUUAGGGGCAGUAUUGCAAUAUUGUAACGGUAGUUACCAUCUCAGUCCAAGAUGUUGGAUGGUGGAAGCUAUGCACAAACUGCUUCAGGCGUAUUUGUAAAAAAAAUUCAAAUUCAAAUAGGUCAACUUGGUUAAACAAAAAUAUUAGUAUGCACAGAAAACUGUGAUGAAUGUGUACUGAUUAAAUUGAGAGAAAAAUGUAGUCUUUAUUCUUUCUAAAACUGUCCAUUUGUGGACGUCAUGCAGCAGUGGACUCAGAAUACAUUAAGUCUUGUUUGUGUAAUCUGCUAUUAUAUCUAUAAAAUGAUUUAAAUGAGCUUGUAUUAUACCUAAACAGAAUGACAAUUGCAAUGAUUGCACAGAAUAACACAGUAUUCCAUUAAAUUCUCAAUGUACACAUGCAUACACAGACAUAUUGUAUUUUUAUUCAACAUAACUUUAAAAAGGCAUGAUAUUCCUUAUUGUCAUGUUAUAUGUAACCUACUAUUUACUCCUUUGUUGGAUGGUGUCCACAUGCAUGGACAGUUAAAUAACUUUUUAAACAGACUUUUGGAAAAAAAUUAAAUGACUUUCAGUUUCAGCAUAAUAAACACAAUCUUUAAAAACUCUGGAUAAUAUUUGUCAUAAUUCAUGCAUGAAAUUCAUGCUUGUAAUUAAAAAAAAAAACACACAUUAUUUAGACAAAAAUCUCUGACAGACCAUGGACUGAAAGACACUUUUAUCAUAAAGUUCCAUCUGAAAUUGUGGGUUUUUCUAGAUACUGGCCUUAUUGGCUAGGGAAAUGCAUUGAUACCUUGACUGUGACUAGAAAAAUUGCCAAUGAAGCUGCUGUGCAUUUGUGUUAUUGAUUAAUGAACAUUGAAUGGUUGAACUACAGGUGUUGUUUUCCAUAUUUGUAAAAGAAAAUGGUAAAAUAAGAAAAAUGAGGAUGUUUGUGUUGAGUGUGCAUGUUUAAUCUUAGGAAGCAAGAACGAAUGAUGUGUCACAAUUGGGAUUGAAUGUCUAUGAAUAAAAAAAAAUAUGGAGGUACUAAUAAACAAACCUAAUGCCAAGACUACCAUAACUUUGUUUGGACUGCUCUGCUCUCUACUGUUCAUGUAGAACACAACAACUCAAGUUGCUAUAUCUAGUACUUCCACAUGAUGGCGCCCUGCACUUCUGAAAUAAGAUCAAUGAAUUGGCAAGAUCACUCCUGUCACCCUACCAUGAGUAGCAGUAGGGUAUACCAUUAAACAAAUCCACAUUAUUUUAGACUUGAGAUCUAUCAGCUUUAGAAAAGACAGGGUGAUCAGUGAUUUUCCCUCUUUCACUUUUUCGAAGGUAGAUGAAUGACAGCCCCUCUCAAGGCCUGUUAUUAAGAUUUGGAUGCAGGAAAGGCACAGAAAUGAGACACACACACACACACACACACACACACACACACACACUAGCCUAACACUAGCACUCACAAUCAAUGAGAAAC